AGGAUUAACGCUGGCGGCGUGCCUAACACAUGCAAGUCGAACGAGGUAGCAAUACCUAGUGGCAGACGGGUGAGUAGCGCGUGGUCAACCUACCGUUGAGUGGGGGAUAACUAGCCGAAAGGUUAGCUAAUACCGCAUACGUCUCCGAGGGGCAUCCCUUGGCGAUAAAAGGAGCAAUCCGCUCGAUGACGGGACCGCGUCCCAUUAGCUAGUUGGUGGGGUAACGGCCUACCAAGGCGUCGAUGGGUAGCUGGUUUGAGAGAGCGACCAGCCACACUGGGACUGAGAUACGGCCCAGACUCCUACGGGAGGCAGCAGUGAGGAAUUUUCCGCAAUGGGCGAAAGCCUGACGGAGCGACGCCGCGUGUGGGAAGAAGGCCUUCGGGUCGUAAACCACUGUCGAAGGGGAAGAUAAUGACGGUACCCUUGGAGGAAGCCCGGCUAACUACGUGCCAGCAGCCGC
Molecule: ribosomal RNA, 463 nt
Filed under: uncultured bacterium
Lineage: Bacteria
Description: SSU rRNA
Rfam family: Bacterial small subunit ribosomal RNA
Source: RNAcentral